CAGUCCACAAACCCUCUGCAGAGCCGUCUUCUCAGCAGCAGUGCAGCUGCCGUGCCACAUGGUGAUGCAGGUGCAGAGAACGCUCUCCACCACACAAUGAUAGAAGCUCCUCAGAACUGAGUUACCAAGACCAGCUCUCUGCAGCUUUCUGAGGAAGUAGAGACGCUGGCGGGUAUUCCUGACCAGAUGUGACGUGUUGGCACUCCAGCUCGUCAUUCUUGUGCCGGCAGAGUGGAUGAGCCUGUCUGGGCAGCUAGAUUUUUGUUGGGUUUUUUUCCCAUUAGCUCCACCCAGAUACUUGCUAGCUGCUAGGAAGGACUCUGAUAAGCAGGUUUUCACUCAGGAAAACUUGGACAGCUUCUAUGAGAGGUGUUCACUCUGAACUAGAGUGGAGGAGCUUGUUAGUUAUCUAGAUCAACACAGGGCUACUGGGGCAGUGGGGCCGAUCUUAAAUAUCCUUGUUUCUUAAUUAGUGGCUCGCUAAUCACUUAACUUGUUUUUCAGAACUCUCCAUAAAACAAGACGAGGUCCAGAAAUUGUUUCUCUGCUAAUUUAUCUUCAUCAAAUUAAACCGAUGGACCAUCAGGUGGGCAGUUCCCAGUCUGUCAUCAGCUUUGAUAAAUCCCCUGCCAGCACAUUCAAACCAUCCCAUUCA
Long non-coding RNA from Poecilia latipinna (sailfin molly), 655 nucleotides. RefSeq lists it as uncharacterized. The record is from RefSeq and is a predicted model, not a curated record. The transcript is spliced from 5 exons. Lineage: Eukaryota; Metazoa; Chordata; Actinopteri; Cyprinodontiformes; Poeciliidae.